GAAAAGAAGGAGACAUGCAAGUGUUAGACGUCUCUGAUCUUUGAAUUGCAUGUAUUCUCUUUGUCGGGGAGGAGAUUGAAUGGAAUUUAGAGUAAGGAAAGGUUUUGACGUCCGUGGUACGAUACGCGGAGGUGGAGGAAAAGGUUAAGAGCACUGUGGGUCGGAAGAGGGAAGGAGAGACAGAGGUCUUUGAGACAGGUUGCUUACUACGUGGUACCUAUGGUUAAGAGGUAGGCCAACUACGUCCGGGAGGGGUAGGCACGGGAACGCGGUCUUCCAAGGGGAGCUGUGGUACUAAGGUAAGUCCCUUCUUCCUUGCGCUAGGCAGUUCGUGUGUGCUUCUUAAUACGUACAGGCGCAUGUGACAAGUAGUUCAAGCAGCGUAACAAGGUAGUUUGAGCCCUCACUGCUGCUACAACCUGUACCUGUCUUUGUCCAAUGGCUUCUUCCUGAGUUGUGCUUCUCAAGGUACUUCUGCUUCCACUACUGAUGCUGAUGAUACCGCUAGAUAUCCUCACUCCAGUGCACCUGAUGUAGCUGACGGACACCGACUCUACCUCAGUGAUGCGUAAAAUGAAAGGCGACAAAAGACUAACAUUUACAGUACUCUGUAGAGUGAUCCAUACAGAACACUGUUUAUAUGAUGAACAUUAAUAAAAUGCAUAAGACGUUACUAUAGUAAAGCGAUACAACAGUUGUUAUUAGGACCCCAACUGUUUAUA
This 722-nucleotide ribosomal RNA is filed under the name Triticum aestivum (bread wheat). RNAcentral describes it as "partial small subunit ribosomal RNA". Lineage: Eukaryota; Viridiplantae; Streptophyta; Magnoliopsida; Poales; Poaceae. The record is from RNAcentral.